RNAcentral lists this ribosomal RNA (254 nucleotides) under uncultured bacterium. RNAcentral's name for it is "partial 16S ribosomal RNA". It matches the Rfam family "Bacterial small subunit ribosomal RNA", at positions 524 to 776 of the family's 1533-position model. The record is from RNAcentral.
UACGUAGGGGGCGAGCGUUGUCCGAAGUUACUGGGCGUAAAGCGCGCGUAGGCGGCCUCUUAAGUGAGGGGUGAAAGGUUCAGGGCUCAACCCGAACACUGCCUUUCAUACUGGGAGUCUUGAGUGCGGGAGAGGCGAGUGGAAUGGUCGGUGUAGCGGUGAAAUGCGUAGAUAUCGAUCGGAACACCCAUGGCGAAGGCAGCUCGCUGGCCUGUAACUGACGCUGAGGUGCGAAAGCGUGGGGAGCAAACAGG